CUUGCACUGGAACAACAGGAUGCCCUCCUGCUCCAUCAAAAGACUGUUCCACCCGAACAUUUUACAAAACCAUCGAUAAUGUCAAAUGUAUAUCGGGCUGCAAACAUUGGUGUUGCAAAACUGAAGAAGAAGUACUAAAAGAUUGUCCCAAAACCAGCCCUGACAAUCCAUACUGUAUACACACUAAUGUUGUACGUUACACUAUCAAUGGAAGAAAGUGUCCAGUAUAUUGUGGUUGUAUACCGGACUGCAGAAAAUUGACAUGCUAAAUCAAAUAAAGAGUUGCCCUUAAUAACGCUUAUAUAUUAUAUUGUAUAAUGUUUACAUGUGUCUUUCUCCGUUUAACCGAAAUAUUCAUAUUGUUUUUUAAUAGGUUUUCAAAAUAUACUAAAACACUUCCCAGUUAAUCCAAGUUAUCUCACACCACUGUAUUAAAUAUAGUUACAUGUAUAAACAAUCUUUACACUACAUACAUUAGUGUAUGUUCUGUUAUGUUAAUAGUGUAGUUCACUGAUCAGAAUUUAAAAAAAGGAGAGAUUAAUUAAAAACAAAUUGUUUAACCCCGUCUUAUGUAUUUGUUUGAUGCCCCGAAGUCACUAACCUCGUCCUCAGCCGGCUUUUGUCAUAUCUUAAUGUUGUUUUUUUAAUUUUUUUAUUAUUAUUUGAGAAAAUAAAACAGA
RNAcentral lists this long non-coding RNA (680 nucleotides) under Mytilus galloprovincialis (Mediterranean mussel). The record is from RNAcentral. Lineage: Eukaryota; Metazoa; Mollusca; Bivalvia; Mytilida; Mytilidae.